RNAcentral lists this long non-coding RNA (202 nucleotides) under Olea europaea (common olive). RNAcentral describes it as "long non-coding RNA (OEUR_LNC004861)". The record is from RNAcentral. Lineage: Eukaryota; Viridiplantae; Streptophyta; Magnoliopsida; Lamiales; Oleaceae.
AAGAAGUUAAUGUUCGUUAAUAAUGAACAAAAUUACAAAAGAGAAAAAGACAUCGUAUGUCUUAAUUACAGUCUACCCCAUAAGGAACGAAUUCGUUCCCUAAGUUUUUCCCAAUCCUCGUUCUGCCGGAAGGAAGUGAUGUUCAAUUCAGCCGCAACGUCAUCAUCAUCAACCUCCAACUUCUUGUACUGUUCAACCAAGG